UCAUGUUUUGGCGGUCUUUCCGUGUACACCCCCCUUCAGUCUGCACUACAUGGACUAUUCCAUGUUACGCGCAUCACGCUCAUCCCGCGUAUACAUAAAUGAUUUAAAAUUCAAAACAGUAAAUAGCGGCAAGAGAGAAGAGAUAAAUCGAGUGAGAAAUGAAGCAAACAUACCAAAGCGGGUCACAGAAAAAUAAGAAGAAAGGCAGGAGUUUAUUUCAAAGCUGCCAAAGCUAUCAAGCCUUUUUACAGGCACUGCGGUAGCAGCGGAACAAGAGUAGCUGUCUACAUCGUUUGCUCUCACCGGUAAGUCAAGUUUUGACAGAAAGAGAGAGCGAGAGAGAGAGAGCGCACAGAUGAGGACAAACAGAGAGGAGACAAAAGCUCACAGAUGAGGAUAAACUGAGAGAGAGGAGACAAAAGCUCAUAGAUGAGGACCAAGAGAGGAGACAAAAGCUCACAGAUGAGGACAAACAGACAGAGAGAGAGAAAGAGGAGAAAAAACAAGCUCAGAGACAGGAGAAGCAAAGAAACAGUGAGACUGAAGAGGUGACACAAAUAGACCACUGUCCGUCCCCCUGCUGUGGCCUACUGGAAACCUAAGGUAAAUUAAUAAUAAACAUGAAACAUGAAAGAAGGAUAGUGACUUUUGAGUAUCUCAUUAUGCCAUAUUAGGUACAAAAGGCUAAUCGCAGGUGUUUACAUCAAGGUUUUUCCUCCCCUCUGCUUUCCAGCUGUAGUCUAAAUAACUCUGUGCCCGGCCCAAAAUGCUACCAGUCUACUUGCCAGAUUUGGGGUAGGUGACGAUCAAAACGUCAUCGUUCUUGAACUCAAACUCCGCCGCAAAUCUCAAACUCUCUUCCGUGUGCGACUCUUUGGGCAGCAGCAGUCCACGAUGAAUGAUGUACUUGUCGGAACACGUCGUCACCAUGUUGCCCUGCGAGUUUGAAGAUAG
Molecule: long non-coding RNA, 954 nt
Organism: Gadus macrocephalus (Pacific cod)
Lineage: Eukaryota; Metazoa; Chordata; Actinopteri; Gadiformes; Gadidae
Exons: 2
Source: RefSeq, a predicted model, not a curated record